This 467-nucleotide ribosomal RNA is filed under the name uncultured bacterium. RNAcentral describes it as "partial 16S ribosomal RNA". It matches the Rfam family "Bacterial small subunit ribosomal RNA", at positions 28 to 507 of the family's 1533-position model. The record is from RNAcentral.
GACGAACGCUGGCGGCGUGCUUAACACAUGCAAGUCGAACGGAAAGGCCCUGCUUUUGUGGGGUGCUCGAGUGGCGAACGGGUGAGUAACACGUGAGUAACCUGCCCUUGACUUUGGGAUACUUCAGGAAACUGGGGCUAAUACCGGAUAGGAGCUCCUGCUGCAUGGUGGGGGUUGGAAAGUUUCGGCGGUUGGGGAUGGACUCGCGGCUUAUCAGCUUGUUGGUGGGGUAGUGGCUUACCAAGGCUUUGACGGGUAGCCGGCCUGAGAGGGUGACCGGCCACAUUGGGACUGAGAUACGGCCCAGACUCCUACGGGAGGCAGCAGUGGGGAUUAUUGCACAAUGGGCGGAAGCCUGAUGCAGCAACGCCGCGUGCGGGAUGACGGCCUUCGGGUUGUAAACCGCUUUCGCCUGUGACGAAGCGUGAGUGACGGUAAUGGGUAAAGAAGCACCGGCUAACUACGUG